RNAcentral lists this transfer RNA (78 nucleotides) under bacterium. Its description in RNAcentral is "tRNA-Leu". The record is from RNAcentral. RNAcentral also lists the same sequence under 1 other name.
GCGGCGGAAUUGGCAGACACGCUAGAUUCAGGUUCUAGUGCCCGCAAGGGCGUGGAGGUUCAAGUCCUCUCGUCCGCA